CUACGGGCUGCACCAGUGGGGAAUAUUGCACAAUGGAGGAAACUCUGAUGCAGCAACGCCGCGUGGAGGAUGACACUUUUCGGAGCGUAAACUCCUUUUAUAUAGGAAGAAGAUGACGGUACUAUAUGAAUAAGCGCCCGCUAACUCCGUGCCAGCAGCCGCGGUAAUACGGAGGGCGCAAGCGUUAAUCGGAAUCACUGGGCGUAAAGAGCGUGUAGGCGGAUUAAAAAGUCAGAAGUGAAAUCCUAUAGCUUAACUAUAGAACUGCUUCUGAAACUCUUAAUCUAGAAUAUGGGAGAGGUAGAUGGAAUUUCUGGUGUAGGGGUAAAAUCCGUAGAGAUCAGAAGGAAUACCGAUUGCGAAGGCGAUCUACUAGAACAUUAUUGACGCUGAGACGCGAAAGCGUGGGGAGCAAACAGGAUUAGAUACCCUGGUAGUC
This 439-nucleotide ribosomal RNA is filed under the name uncultured bacterium. RNAcentral's name for it is "partial 16S ribosomal RNA". It matches the Rfam family "Bacterial small subunit ribosomal RNA", at positions 339 to 795 of the family's 1533-position model. The record is from RNAcentral.